Molecule: ribosomal RNA, 472 nt
Filed under: uncultured bacterium
Lineage: Bacteria
Description: bacterial SSU rRNA
Rfam family: Bacterial small subunit ribosomal RNA
Source: RNAcentral
UGGGGAAUUUUGGGCAAUGGGCGAAAGCCUGACCCAGCAACGCCGCGUGCAGGAUGAAGGCCCUCGGGUCGUAAACUGCUGUCGGGAGGGAAGAAAAGCAGCGGGAGGAAAUGACCGCUGCCUGACGGUACCUCCAAAGGAAGCGCCGGCUAACUCCGUGCCAGCAGCCGCGGUAAUACGGAGGGCGCAAGCGUUGUUCGGAAUUACUGGGCGUAAAGCGCGUGUAGGCGGUCUGGCAAGUCGGUUGUGAAAUCCCCGGGCUCAACCCGGGAACUGCAUCCGAAACUUCCAGGCUAGAGUUUCGGAGAGGAAGGCAGAAUUCCCAAUGUAGGGGUGAAAUCCGUAGAUAUUGGGAGGAAUACCAGUGGCGAAGGCGGCCUUCUGGACGAUGACUGACGCUGAGACGCGAAAGCGUGGGGAGCAAACAGGAUUAGAUACCCGGGUAGUCCCUGAGCGGGCUGGCAAGGCGCAU